GGCUCGAGGACGAACGCUGGCGGCGUGCUUAACACAUGCAAGUCGAGCGAUGAAGCUUCUUCGGAAGUGGAUUAGCGGCGGACGGGUGAGUAACACGUGGGUAACCUACCUCAUAGAGGGGAAUAGCCUUCCGAAAGGAAGAUUAAUACCGCAUAAGAUUGUAAUAUCGCAUGAUAUAGCAAUUAAAGGAGCAAUCCGCUAUGAGAUGGACCCGCGUCGCAUUAGCUAGUUGGUGAGGUAACGGCCCACCAAGGCGACGAUGCGUAGCCGACCUGAGAGGGUGAUCGGCCACAUUGGGACUGAGACACGGCCCAGACUCCUACGGGAGGCAGCAGUGGGAAUAUUGCACAAUGGGGGAAACCCUGAUGCAGCCAACGCCGCGUGAGUGAUGACGGUCUUCGGAUUGUAAAGCUCUGUCUUCAGGGACGAUAAUGACGGUACCUGAGGAGGAAGCCACGGCUAACUACGUGCCAGCCGCUGC
Molecule: ribosomal RNA, 481 nt
Filed under: uncultured bacterium
Lineage: Bacteria
Description: bacterial SSU rRNA
Rfam family: Bacterial small subunit ribosomal RNA
Source: RNAcentral